GGAAAAGCGAGGGUGAUGAUAGCAAACAUGGCGGCCUCUAUUGGAAAGACCUAAGAAUUUGUGGACAGUUGAUGGCAUUGGGAAAAACUCAUCAAUGAUGCAUUUGCAAACUUUAAGAGGUGCUUUGUGGAAAUAAAUCCAAUGCCUGGGUCCAAGACAUAAAAGAUGAUUUUUAUUAUUUGUAAAUGCUGCGAUUUGUAAUACAUUUGUUAUGUUGUAUAUAUGUAUUUGUGAAUUAUUUUGUAUUGCUCAAAUUCUAAAAUAAACAAGAUCUCCACGUAAGGUUUCUUAUUUUUUCUGUGUUUAAAAUAUUUUCAAUAAUAGAGAGCUUGGAUUAAAUUGUCGUUUGGGAGGUAAAACUCAGUACCAGCAAAUUUUACAUUAUUGUCAUCUACUGUACUUAAGU
Molecule: long non-coding RNA, 406 nt
Organism: Uloborus diversus
Lineage: Eukaryota; Metazoa; Arthropoda; Arachnida; Araneae; Uloboridae
Exons: 3
Source: RefSeq, a predicted model, not a curated record